AGAGUUUGAUCCUGGCUCAGAACGAACGCUGGCGGCAGGCCUAACACAUGCGAGUCGAACGCCCCGCAAGGGGAGUGGCAGACGGGUGAGUAACGCGUGGGAACAUACCCUUCGGUUCGGAAUAGCUCAGGGAAACUUGGAUUAAUACCGGAUACGUCCGUAAGGAGAAAGAUUUAUCGCCGAAGGAUUGGCCCGCGUCUGAUUAGCUUGUUGGUGAGGUAAUGGCUCACCAAGGCGACGAUCAGUAGCUGGUCUGAGAGGAUGACCAGCCACAUUGGGACUGAGACACGGCCCAAACUCCUACGGGAGGCAGCAGUGGGGAAUAUUGGACAAUGGGCGAAAGCCUGAUCCAGCCAUGCCGCGUGAGUGAUGAAGGCCUUA
This 381-nucleotide ribosomal RNA is filed under the name uncultured bacterium. RNAcentral's name for it is "bacterial SSU rRNA". It matches the Rfam family "Bacterial small subunit ribosomal RNA", at positions 8 to 419 of the family's 1533-position model. The record is from RNAcentral.